UCCUCACUGUUUGUCUGUGUGUUCUUGUCUCUUGACAGGUCUGUGAGGAUGAGAAGGUCUCCACAGUCUGCAGUCUGGUCUCUGACAGGCUCAACAUACCUGUCAAUCAACAUGGACUCCUCUACAAAGGCAAGGCGCUGGCAGGUAGGCUGAACAGCACAGCACAGCACAGCACAGCUCACCCCUCCUCUCACUUCUCACCUCACCCCGGGUCAGUGUGGCACAGCCUGCCUGCUCUUCUGAACAAACACUUCAGCCCUGCCGACGCAGUGAGAGUCUGGAGCAGCAACACAAGGUGAUGAAGUGACACUUUGAAUAUGGGGCCUGAUGAGAGAAGUAUCCUUUUCAUGUGGUUUUGGUUUUGCCGUUGUGAGCAGGUAUGGGAGACAGCACCGUGUCUGCAUGUGAAAUAACAAAGUCAUCGCAGUGGAGGGACUCUCUGAAGGCUGCUGUUUGUGGAUUUGUCUUGUAAUAAAAUGGAUGGAGAAAAUCAGCUCUAGCAUCUGGUUUAGUCACUGAAGAGGAGGAGGGCCCUGACUGAGGAAGAGAUCGAGGGCAUGUACGCCAUGGAGGAGGACCUCCCUGAUGAAGAGCUGCUGCAGGAGAAUGAGGAGGAGGAGGAGGAGAGUGAUCUGGAGGAGCCCCAGUCCAGCACUUCAACUGCAGGGUAGUUUUGAAAAUAAAUAAAUACAGCACAAUAUGGAACGUUUUAUUUUUUUUGUCUACCU
Molecule: long non-coding RNA, 728 nt
Organism: Acipenser ruthenus (sterlet)
Lineage: Eukaryota; Metazoa; Chordata; Actinopteri; Acipenseriformes; Acipenseridae
Exons: 3
Source: RefSeq, a predicted model, not a curated record